AUUGCCCUAGUAACGGCGAGUGAAGCGGCAACAGCUCAAAUUUGAAAUCUGGCUCUCUUGUGGGGUCCGAGUUGUAAUUUGUAGAGGGCGCUUUGGCACUGAUGGCGGUCUAAGUUCCUUGGAACAGGACAUCACAGAGGGUGAGAAUCCCGUACGUGGUCGCUAAUCUUUUGCUGUGUAAAGCCCCUUCAACGAGUCGAGUUGUUUGGGAAUGCAGCUCUAAAUGGGAGGUAAAUUUCUUCUAAAGCUAAAUAUUGGCCAGAGACCGAUAGCGCACAAGUAGAGUGAUCGAAAGAUGAAAAGCACUUUGGAAAGAGAGUCAAAAAGCACGUGAAAUUGUUGAAAGGGAAGCGCUUGCCGCCAGACUUGCCUGUAGUUGCUCACCUAGGCGUUAAGCCUGGGGCACUCUUCUGCAGGCAGGCCAGCAUCAGUUUGGGCAGCCGGAUAAAGGUCUCUGACACGUUCCAUCCUUCGUAGAUGGCCAUAUAGGGGAGACGUCAUGCGGUUAGCCUGGACUGAGGUCCGCGCAUUGCUAGGAUGCUGGCGUAAUGGCUGCAAGCGGCCCGUCUUGAAACACGGACCAAGGAGUCUAACAUCUAUGCGAGUGUUUGGGUGUCAAGCCCGAGCGCGCAAUAAACGUGAACGGAGGUGGGAACCCUCUUUGCGGGGGGUGCACUAUCGACCGAUCCUGAUGUCUUCGGAUGGAUUUGAGUAAGAGCAUAGCUGUUGGGACCCGAAAGAUGGUGAACUAUGCUUGAAUAGGGUGAAGCCAGAGGAAACUCUGGUGGAGGCUCGCAGCGGUUCUGACGUGCAAAUCGAUCGUCAAAUUUGGGCAUAGGGGCGAAAGACUAAUCGAAC
Molecule: ribosomal RNA, 858 nt
Filed under: Aquihelicascus thalassioideus
Lineage: Eukaryota; Fungi; Ascomycota; Dothideomycetes; Pleosporales; Morosphaeriaceae
Description: partial 28S ribosomal RNA
Rfam family: Eukaryotic large subunit ribosomal RNA
Source: RNAcentral